AAAUUUUUAUGGUAUCAACCUUACUGUAUGGGCUAGAUAUCCACCAAAUUUGAGCUCAGUUUGACAACGUUUACUAUUUUUCAAAAAUCAAUGUUUCCGAUUGCUCAAAACUGCCGAUUAUGGUAGACCGUGGUAAAAACGCCAUAUCUCCCAAACCACUUGGAGUUUCUGACUCUACUUUUUUUUAAAUGAAACUAGACUCACAAUACCUUUCUUUUGGUAUGAGUCUGGAGUCCAGGGGAUGUCGGAGUCAGAAUGUGUUAAAGUUUGAAGUCGAGUCUGUGUAAAAACAGAACAUGUCUUGAUGAUGUUUGAUGGUAUUUUCUUAUGUGCCUUAUGUGAUUGUGUUGCCUAAGUGUUUGAAUGAGAUUAGACGAGUCUUAUAUGAGAGAUGAAUCGAGACCUAGAACCAUGAUUUUCU
This 421-nucleotide long non-coding RNA is filed under the name Salvia miltiorrhiza (redroot sage). Its description in RNAcentral is "long non-coding RNA (SMIL_LNC001348)". The record is from RNAcentral. Lineage: Eukaryota; Viridiplantae; Streptophyta; Magnoliopsida; Lamiales; Lamiaceae.